AUUAAACGCUGGCGGCAUGCCUUACACAUGCAAGUCGAACGGCAGCACGGGGGCAACCCUGGUGGCGAGUGGCGGACGGGUGAGUAAAGCAUCGGAACGUAUCCUGGAGUGGGGGAUAACGUAGCGAAAGUUACGCUAAUACCGCAUAUUCUGUGAGCAGGAAAGCAGGGGAUCGCAAGACCUUGCGCUCUGGGAGCGGCCGAUGUCGGAUUAGCUAGUUGGUGGGGUAAAGGCCUACCAAGGCGACGAUCCGUAGCGGGUCUGAGAGGAUGAUCCGCCACACUGGGACUGAGACACGGCCCAGACUCCUACGGGAGGCAGCAGUGGGGAAUAUUGGACAAUGGGCGAAAGCCUGAUCCAGCCAUGCCGCGUGAGUGAUGAAGGCCCUAGGGUUGUUAAAGGCUCUUUCAACGGUGAAGAUAAUGACGGUAACCGUAGAAGAAGCCCCGGGC
Molecule: ribosomal RNA, 452 nt
Filed under: uncultured bacterium
Lineage: Bacteria
Description: bacterial SSU rRNA
Rfam family: Bacterial small subunit ribosomal RNA
Source: RNAcentral